This 538-nucleotide long non-coding RNA is filed under the name Ictidomys tridecemlineatus (thirteen-lined ground squirrel). RNAcentral's name for it is "lncRNA (ENSSTOG00000034093.1)". Lineage: Eukaryota; Metazoa; Chordata; Mammalia; Rodentia; Sciuridae. The record is from RNAcentral.
CCUAGUGUGUGCCCUUACCCGAUGCGUCCUGUUCUUCUGCCAGCUGAUGAUGGACCGUUUUGAAGCUGGAUUGGCAGAGGUGGCGAGCACUGCGUGUUGUGAUGAAAGGUAACGGUCAUGCCCAGCCUCCGUGAGCACAGCUGGGCGCCAGCCUCUCUCCUGCCAUGUUACGUUCAUCACCCGGCUUCACGGUGAACAUCCAGGGGAGGUAAGAGCCCAGCCUCAGGGGCGCCCAGGUGCCUUCCCGGGUGGGCUGGGCAUGCAGGUGCAGAGCCAGGAAGGACAUGCAGGUGCAGUCAGAGCUCAGAGCUGCCCUCUGAACCUUGGCAGUAGCAGGCAGCAAACGCAAGCUGGUCCCACUACGUGCAAUGUGGAGAAACUGUCAUCGAUGUCAUCGUGGCCCGUGCCUUCCCUCACGUUAUCCACUUGCCACCCUCCAGGUCGGCUCCACCGAAGGGGAACCGAGCAGUUUUGUGCACACUUCAUGGGAGGGCUGCUUUGCCUUCGGUGGGUCAGAGUGUCAGUACGAGGUGAGUAG